This 1473-nucleotide ribosomal RNA is filed under the name Lacticaseibacillus rhamnosus. Its description in RNAcentral is "bacterial SSU rRNA". It matches the Rfam family "Bacterial small subunit ribosomal RNA". Lineage: Bacteria; Bacillati; Bacillota; Bacilli; Lactobacillales; Lactobacillaceae. The record is from RNAcentral.
AUGGGGGGUGCCUAUACAUGCAAGUCGAACGAGUUCUGAUUAUUGAAAGGUGCUUGCAUCUUGAUUUAAUUUUGAACGAGUGGCGGACGGGUGAGUAACACGUGGGUAACCUGCCCUUAAGUGGGGGAUAACAUUUGGAAACAGAUGCUAAUACCGCAUAAAUCCAAGAACCGCAUGGUUCUUGGCUGAAAGAUGGCGUAAGCUAUCGCUUUUGGAUGGACCCGCGGCGUAUUAGCUAGUUGGUGAGGUAACGGCUCACCAAGGCAAUGAUACGUAGCCGAACUGAGAGGUUGAUCGGCCACAUUGGGACUGAGACACGGCCCAAACUCCUACGGGAGGCAGCAGUAGGGAAUCUUCCACAAUGGACGCAAGUCUGAUGGAGCAACGCCGCGUGAGUGAAGAAGGCUUUCGGGUCGUAAAACUCUGUUGUUGGAGAAGAAUGGUCGGCAGAGUAACUGUUGUCGGCGUGACGGUAUCCAACCAGAAAGCCACGGCUAACUACGUGCCAGCAGCCGCGGUAAUACGUAGGUGGCAAGCGUUAUCCGGAUUUAUUGGGCGUAAAGCGAGCGCAGGCGGUUUUUUAAGUCUGAUGUGAAAGCCCUCGGCUUAACCGAGGAAGUGCAUCGGAAACUGGGAAACUUGAGUGCAGAAGAGGACAGUGGAACUCCAUGUGUAGCGGUGAAAUGCGUAGAUAUAUGGAAGAACACCAGUGGCGAAGGCGGCUGUCUGGUCUGUAACUGACGCUGAGGCUCGAAAGCAUGGGUAGCGAACAGGAUUAGAUACCCUGGUAGUCCAUGCCGUAAACGAUGAAUGCUAGGUGUUGGAGGGUUUCCGCCCUUCAGUGCCGCAGCUAACGCAUUAAGCAUUCCGCCUGGGGAGUACGACCGCAAGGUUGAAACUCAAAGGAAUUGACGGGGGCCCGCACAAGCGGUGGAGCAUGUGGUUUAAUUCGAAGCAACGCGAAGAACCUUACCAGGUCUUGACAUCUUUUGAUCACCUGAGAGAUCAGGUUUCCCCUUCGGGGGCAAAAUGACAGGUGGUGCAUGGUUGUCGUCAGCUCGUGUCGUGAGAUGUUGGGUUAAGUCCCGCAACGAGCGCAACCCUUAUGACUAGUUGCCAGCAUUUAGUUGGGCACUCUAGUAAGACUGCCGGUGACAAACCGGAGGAAGGUGGGGAUGACGUCAAAUCAUCAUGCCCCUUAUGACCUGGGCUACACACGUGCUACAAUGGAUGGUACAACGAGUUGCGAGACCGCGAGGUCAAGCUAAUCUCUUAAAGCCAUUCUCAGUUCGGACUGUAGGCUGCAACUCGCCUACACGAAGUCGGAAUCGCUAGUAAUCGCGGAUCAGCACGCCGCGGUGAAUACGUUCCCGGGCCUUGUACACACCGCCCGUCACACCAUGAGAGUUUGUAACACCCGAAGCCGGUGGCGUAACCCUUUAGGGAGCGAGCCGUCUAAAGGGGACAAAAUGG